GACGAACGCUGGCGGCGUGUUUAACACAUGCAAGUCGAACGGAAAGGCCCUGCUUUUGUGGGGUGCUCGAGUGGCGAACGGGUGAGUAACACGUGAGUAACCUGCCCUUGACUUUGGGAUAACUUCAGGAAACUGGGGCUAAUACCGGAUAGGAGCUCCUGCUGCAUGGUGGGGGUUGGAAAGUUUCGGCGGUUGGGGAUGGACUCGCGGCUUAUCAGCUUGUUGGUGGGGUAGUGGCUUACCAAGGCUUUGACGGGUAGCCGGUCUGAGAGGGUGACCGGCCACAUUGGGACUGAGAUACGGCCCAGACUCCUACGGGAGGCAGCAGUGGGGAAUAUUGCACAAUGGGCGGAAGCCUGAUGCAGCAACGCCGCGUGCGGGAUGACGGCCUUCGGGUUGUAAACCGCUUUCGCCUGUGACGAAGCGUGAGUGACGGUAAUGGGUAAAGAAGCACCGGCUAACUACGUG
This 468-nucleotide ribosomal RNA is filed under the name uncultured bacterium. Its description in RNAcentral is "partial 16S ribosomal RNA". It matches the Rfam family "Bacterial small subunit ribosomal RNA", at positions 28 to 507 of the family's 1533-position model. The record is from RNAcentral.